UACAGAGGGUGCAAGCGUUGUCCGGAUUUAUUGGGCGUAAAGAGCGUGUAGGCGGCCUGAAAGGUCAGCUGUGAAAACUCGAGGCUCAACCUCGAGACGUCGGUUGAAACCAUCUGGCUAGAGUCCGGAAGAGGAGUGUGGAAUUCCCAGUGUAGAGGUGAAAUUCGUAGAUAUUGGGAAGAACACCGGUGGCGAAGGCGGCGACCUGGUCCUUGACUGACGCUGAGGCGCGAAAGCGUGGGGAGCAAACAGG
Molecule: ribosomal RNA, 253 nt
Filed under: uncultured bacterium
Lineage: Bacteria
Description: partial 16S ribosomal RNA
Rfam family: Bacterial small subunit ribosomal RNA
Source: RNAcentral